This 207-nucleotide ribosomal RNA is filed under the name uncultured bacterium. RNAcentral's name for it is "partial 16S ribosomal RNA". It matches the Rfam family "Bacterial small subunit ribosomal RNA", at positions 568 to 774 of the family's 1533-position model. The record is from RNAcentral.
CGCGUAGGCGGUCUCUUAAGUCAGAUGUGAAAGCCCGGGGCUUAACCCCGGAAGUGCAUUUGAAACGAAGGGGCUUGAGUAUGGGAGAGGGAAGUGGAAUUCCUGGUGUAGCGGUGAAAUGCGUAGAUAUCAGGAGGAACACCGGUGGCGAUGGCGACUUCCUGGACCAAUACUGACGCUGAGGCGCGAAGGCGUGGGGAGCAAACA